GAAAAUCUGUCGGAACAGCCAUGGAGACCCUCCAUCGAUUCUCCUUUCGUCUCCUCCCGAUUUCCCUCGCCGUAAAAUGCCUCGAUGCAAAUCCAAUAGAAAUGAAAUCAUGCCUCAGGCUCACCACUCUGUCUCCGAUAUCUCGUUUUGAUCGAAUGCCCAUAUCCGUACCCGAAUUUAUAACCUCGAACCCCCACUUCACUGCCCGGAAAUCUUUCUCUUCCUCUUCAAAUGCCAAAGCGGGUUGGUUUCUGGGUCUUGGAGAGAAGAAGAAAACGAGCUUGCCGGAUAUUGUUAAAGCGGGUGACCCGGUUUUGCAUGAACCGGCUCGAGAAGUUGCCCCGGAGGAAAUUGGGUCAGAAAGGAUACAGACGAUAAUUGAUGAUAUGGUUAAGGCUAUGAGGAUGGCUCCUGGUGUUGGACUCGCUGCUCCUCAGAUUGGAAUCUCACUUAGGAUCAUAGUUUUGGAAGAUACAAAAGAAUAUAUUGGUUAUGCACCGAAGGAAGAGACCAAAGCACAGGACAGACGCCCUUUUGAUCUUCUGGUGAUCCUGAACCCAAAGCUUACCAAGAAAAGCAACAGGACUGCAUUUUUCUUUGAAGGGUGUCUAAGUGUUGAUGGAUUCAGAGCAGUGGUGGAGCGAUAUCUUGAUGUCGAGGUUACAGGUUUGAAUCGUUAUGGCCAGCCCAUCAAAGUGGAUGCUUCUGGUUGGCAGGCACGUAUCUUACAGCAUGAGUGUGAUCAUUUGGAUGGAACUCUUUUUGUUGAUAAGAUGGUGCCAAGAACGUUUAGAACCGUAGAAAACUUGGACUUGCCACUUGCUGAGGGGUGCCCCAAGCUUGGUGCCCGCUAGUUCGUGCAAAGCUACAAAGAUGGUCCGAAGAUUGCAAAAAAAGAGGGGUUUAAGAUCCAUUUCAUCUUUAUGCAGUUACCUUUGAAAUCUUUCCCUUGUUUUCAUAUGUUUUUCUUCUUGGAAAAAAGGGAGAAAAACAUAUGUUUGUCUCAUUCUAUACUUUGCAGCAUGAUUUAAAAUGUUCAAAUUUUAUUUAUUUUUAUUAGUUAGUAGUGUAGCAUUUAGUUUCAUUUUUAAUAAAAAGCAUCUACUCUCUCUCUCAAAAAAAAAAUA
Molecule: unclassified non-coding RNA, 1127 nt
Filed under: Hevea brasiliensis (rubber tree)
Lineage: Eukaryota; Viridiplantae; Streptophyta; Magnoliopsida; Malpighiales; Euphorbiaceae
Source: RNAcentral